CUAGACAGGCGGGCCUUGAUCCCGCAAAAUAUUAAUUAACAGCUAAACACCCUAUCCAGCGGGCUUCUGUCCG
Molecule: transfer RNA, 73 nt
Filed under: Sceloporus scalaris (bunch grass lizard)
Lineage: Eukaryota; Metazoa; Chordata; Lepidosauria; Squamata; Phrynosomatidae
Description: tRNA-Asn
Source: RNAcentral